GUGUCAGCAGCCGCGGUAAUACGGAGGGGGCAAGCGUUAUUCGGAAUUAUUGGGCGUAAAGGGCGCGUAGGCGGCUUGGUAAGUCAAAGGUGAAAUCCCUCGGCUCAACUGAGGAAUUGCCUUUGAAACUGCCUGGCUUGAGGCCGGGAGGGGGUAGCGGAAUUCCCAGUGUAGCGGUGAAAUGCGUAGAUACUGGGAGGAACACCAGUGGCGAAGGCGGCUACCUGGACCGGAACUGACGCUGAUGCGCGAAAGCGUGGGGAGCAAACAGGAUUAGAAACCCCAGUAGUCC
RNAcentral lists this ribosomal RNA (292 nucleotides) under uncultured bacterium. RNAcentral describes it as "partial 16S ribosomal RNA". It matches the Rfam family "Bacterial small subunit ribosomal RNA", at positions 505 to 796 of the family's 1533-position model. The record is from RNAcentral.